Long non-coding RNA from Solenopsis invicta (red fire ant), 3467 nucleotides. RefSeq lists it as uncharacterized. The record is from RefSeq and is a predicted model, not a curated record. Lineage: Eukaryota; Metazoa; Arthropoda; Insecta; Hymenoptera; Formicidae. The transcript has 4 exons.
UUUUUGAAAAAGUAAUUUUUUACUGAUAUAACGCGUUUUUUUGUUUAAGCAUGUGACAAUACACCCCGUAGCAAGCAUCGUCCCGGCGAACAUCAGCCGGAAAGACCGCCAGGCCAUAAUCGGGGGUACCUUGGAUACCCGUUUUUUAAAACUCAAACACAGAAACACCGCCUGGCAGCAAACACCGCCAGAAGAGACGCGCCAAGCCAUCGCACAUGCUGAGUCGGCGCGCACGCGUACUCGGAAGACACGCGGUCUUCCCUACUCCGACGACUCCGCCGUCAAACGCCGAAAGAUAACGAAGGCGAGCGGAGUCGCUCGGUAUAAAUAGAGCCAGCACGCCGAGAAACGGCGACUCCGUCACCAGCCAGCAUUCGGAUAACGAUCCGCUGCGCCUGUGACAUUCCGCUCUCGAAGUCGGAACAACGGUUGAAGAGUGCUUGACCGCGGUGAGAGAAUACUCCGCCUCCGACACCGAUCCUUCUUGAGCCUACAGUCGUCCGAAAACCGAGACCCGCUCAGAACCAAGAGUCUUGGUCAGCGAGCUGGUUUCCGGCUACUCGGAAGCUACCCUCCUCACCUCGCGACACCCAUCAAAACUGCGACCGCCGUGUUUGGGGUCCCGGGUUAAGUCUACUUGACAGGGUGCCGCGCGUCCAGCCCCACCUGCGACAACCCCGUCGCGGUUGCCAUACCGCGCGGGAAUUCGGCCCGCCCUAGAGACCCUAUAAUAAGAGUCGUGCCAUCAGGCGAUCUUGGCAAAAUCCUGUUUUAUAUAAGUGAAAAUUUAAAAGAAUGGGUGGAUGUGCAGCACCGUUUUGCAACAACUCUUUACAUAAAGGUUAUAUCAUGAAGAUAUUUCCUAAAGAUCCCGAACGUCAGGCUUUAUGGACACGGAACGUUCCGUGUAAGAAUUGCACAAGAAUCAACAAAAUAUUCUUGUCUUUGUGAGGUUCAUUUUACUCCAGCAAUGUGGGAUGAUUACUGUAAACGGAAAUUAAAAAAAGGAUGCAGUACCAACAAUUUUUGGUUAUUUUUUGAAAAAGCAAGUGCCAACGGAAGACACAAAAAAUGAUGACAAUACUAAUGUUAAUAAUAAUAUUAAUAAAGCAAUUAUCAAUACUAAUGAAUAUACAAAUGAAGAAGCAAAUGUUGAAAAUGCAGAAGUUGAUAUUGAAACAGAUAUAAAUAUUGACAUCUCAGAAUCAACAUCAGUAAAUAUGUCAUCAAUAACUGAAUUUCACGGAUGCGAAAAAAAAAAUGUAAAAAGUAUAAAGAACUUGUAAAGAAACAGCAACUACGUUUUAUCAUUAUGCAGAAGAAAAUGAAAGCUCUGCGAUGUACAAAUGCAAUGCUAAACAGUAAGAUUAAUAAUGAUAAAUAUAAGAAAACUAUGAAUGCAAUACUUAAUAAAGACCAAAUAAGAGCGCUGUUUUAUAAAGUUCACGUUCAAAGUUAGUUUAAUAAAACGGUUCAACGUGCUCUAAAAUUAAAAUUUGCUUGUGGGGCUGGUGGUUAUGAGAAAAUACUUCGGCAAGGGAUACCACUUCCUAGUAUAAGAACAUUGCAGCGAAAGUUGGAAAACUUUAAAUUUGAAUCUGGAAUAUCAAAUGAAAUGUUUGAAUUCCUAAAGUAUAAAACACUCUUUUUUAACAAAGAAACAGAUUUCGAAUGUGGCUUAAUAUUCGAUGAAAUGGCUAUAACAUCAAGGAAAUGUUAUAAUCCUUCAACAGGAUCAUUAGUUGGAGAUAUAACAUUUCCUGAUGAAAAAGGUAUAGCUACACAUGCUCUUGUUUUCAUGCUCGUUGGAAUUUGUAAUAGAUGGAAACAUAUAGUGGGUUAUUAUUUUACAAGAAAUAGUUUUAAUAGAAAUACUUUUAAAAAAAUUAUUUUUCAGAUUAUUAAUAAGGCAGAGGAACUUGGUUUCCAUGUCAAUUUUAUUACAUCGGACAUGGGUUCCGGUAAUACCGGGUUAUGAAAAUUGUUAGAAAUUAGCACUGGUAGAUUUAGUAAAAUAAAGAAUUACAUUAUUCAUUUAUUUAAUUCUACUCAAAAUUUAUAUAUUAUUGCUGAUCCACCUCAUAUUUUAAAGAAUUUAAAACAGGCAUUACUUAGUAAUGAAAUGAUAAUCAUUUCUGAUGAUAUAGUCCAAAAAUAUAAUUUAUCUUCGGAUAAGAUAGAAUUAAGGCAUUUUAAUGAAUUGAUAAACAUUCAAGAAAAUUCUGAACUGCUUUUAACACCUAAAUUAAAGAUAGAUGACCUUAAAUGUAACAAUUUCAAUAAAAUGAAAGUGAAUAAAGCCAAACAAGUGUUUGCUCAUGACGUAAGCUGUUCAUUUGAAUUAUUAGCAUCAGAAAAUAACAAACCAGAAUAUAUCUCCACUGCAUGGUUUGUAAACAUUGUUUGUAAAUGGUUUUCUUUAAUGACAUUGAGUUAUUAUAAAAUAACAUUAGACAAAAAUAAGACAAACGUAUAUGAGGAAAAUAUUGAUUUUUUGUACGAAAUUAUUAAUAUUUUUAGUAAAUUAAAAAUAGGUAAUAGUGGAUUCAAACCUGUACAAAGAGGUCUAAUGAUAAGUAUUCAAUCCAUCAUUGAUUUAACUGAAUAUUUAAUUACAAAAAGAAACUUUCAUUAUGUCUUAACUGCAAGAUUUACACAAGAUUGUAUUGAAAAUCUUUUCUCUCAAAUUAGACAAAAGAAUGUUAUACCUCAUUCGCUCCAAUUCACCAAUGACUUAAAAUUAAUUGCCAUCUCAAUGUAUAUGACAGACAUUAAAAUUACUAAUUAUGAUAAUGACGAUCAACAGUAUCUAUCAGGAUUUCUCGAAUAUUUACAACAAAAGAAAAAAAAAAGCUGUGAGUGAUACAUGUCAAACACAAGAAACUGUUGAAAUUCCUCCCGUUAAUAAAAAUUUGAUGUCCAACUUAUCACAUCUAGAAUUAAACUGUUUGUAUAACAUAGCUGGUUAUAUUAUAAAAUCUAUUACAAAAACAUGUACAAUAUGCAAUAAAUGUAUACAAUCAGUAAAAUCGCCAAUUCCAUUGCGUUUUUCAUUUACAAAGUGUAAAUCAUGUACAAUCAAAAUGUUUUACAACACAUUCAUUAUGUUUCGUUAAUAUCAAAACAUUUAAAGUAUUUAUAAAAUUAGAACAAAUGUUAUAAACAAAUGUUAUAAAUCGAUAUUAUAGUAAGUUUUUUAAUAAUUUUCCAAACGUUAAUUGAACAGCAUUUCUAAGUGCAGAAUUAGCAAAGGUCCAGGCUAAACAUAUUUCAAAUUGUCAUAAUUUAUAUUUUCAAAAUUAUUAAAAAAUUUGCAACGUUUAGAUUAAAAAUUCAUAAUAAAAAAAGGUACUGCAUGCAAGCAAUAUGAUAGCAAAUCAAUGGCUAUGCAUACUCUAUUAUAAUGUUAGGAAAUAUUAAAUGAUACAAUAUUUAUGUUAAUCUAUAUGUUUUAAGUCAUUGGCAAU